Molecule: long non-coding RNA, 654 nt
Organism: Cherax quadricarinatus
Lineage: Eukaryota; Metazoa; Arthropoda; Malacostraca; Decapoda; Parastacidae
Source: RefSeq, a predicted model, not a curated record
CCCACAUGCACACAACGUCUCUCACAGGUGAACACAACCUCUCACCCACGUGCACACAACGUCUCUCACAGGUGAACACAACCUCUCACCCACAUGCACACAACGUCUCUCACAGGUGAACACAACCUCUCACCCACAUGCACACAACGUCUCUCACAUGUGAACACAACCUCUCACCCACAUGCACACAACGUCUCUCACAGGUGAACACAACCUCUCACCCACAUGCACACAACGUCUCUCACAGGUGAACACAACCUCUCACCCACAUGCACACAACGUCUCUCACAGGUGAACACAACCUCUCACCCACGUGCACACAAGCCGGCUGAUAACAGAUGGGCGUUCAUACAAGGUAUUGAAGUCGGCCAGUCUGAGCUGGGAGCGAUGAGGAUAUCGUCAGUAGAGCGAUGAGGAUGUCGUCAAGUAGUCGAGGAAAGGUUCAUCAGCUACGGCAGCUUCCAAGGUUACGUUCCAAAAGAGCUGGAGUUAGUGUUACCUGGGGAAAACCAUCUCUCAGAAUGGCGGGGCCAGGAGCUAUGACUUGACCUUCUGAAAACACAACUCUGCAAGUACAACAAGGAGGAUAUACAGGUUACCUACCUCGGUGGGAUAUGGCCGGUUUGUUGAAAAAAUAAAGCUUCAGAUAUGGAA